CCUACGGGAGGCAGCAGUGGGGAAUUUUGGACAAUGGGCGCAAGCCUGAUCCAGCCAUGCCGCGUGUGGGAAGAAGGCCUUCGGGUUGUAAACCACUUUUGUCAGGGAAGAAACGGUCUGGUCUAAUAAACCGGACUAAUGACGGUACCUGAAGAAUAAGCACCGGCUAACUACGUGCCAGCAGCCGCGGUAAUACGUAGGGUGCAAGCGUUAAUCGGAAUUACUGGGCGUAAAGCGUGCGCAGGCGGCUUUGCAAGACAGAUGUGAAAUCCCCGGGCUCAACCUGGGAACUGCAUUUGUGACUGCAAGGCUAGAGUACGGCAGAGGGGGGAUGGAAUUCCGCGUGUAGCAGUGAAAUGCGUAGAUAUGCGGAGGAACACCGAUGGCGAAGGCAAUCCCCUGGGCCUGUACUGACGCUCAUGCACGAAAGCGUGGGGAGCAAACAGGAUUAGAUACCCUGGUAGUCCACGCCCUAAACGAUGUCAACUGGUUGUUGGGAGGGUUUCUUCUCAGUAACGAAGCUAACGCGUGAGUUGACCGCCUGGGGAGGACGGCGCGUAGUAGUUAAGUUACGUAAGAAGUUAGUACGGCGNGNGAGNGCGACGGACGACGACGAGGAGGAGG
This 624-nucleotide ribosomal RNA is filed under the name uncultured bacterium. Its description in RNAcentral is "bacterial SSU rRNA". The stretch from base 1 to 542 matches the Rfam family "Bacterial small subunit ribosomal RNA", at positions 338 to 873 of the family's 1533-position model. The record is from RNAcentral.